AUACGGAGGGUGCAAGCGUUACUCGGAAUUACUGGGCGUAAAGGACGCGUAGGCGGUUUAGAAAGUCAGAUGUGAAAGCCUAUGGCUUAACCAUAGAACUGCAUUUGAAACUUCCAAACUAGAGUGGGGGAGAGGUCAGUGGAUUUAGUGGUGUAGGGGUAAAAUCCGUAGAGAUCACUAGGAAUACUCAUUGCGAAGGCGACUGACUGGAACUUAACUGACGCUGAGGCGUGAAAGCGUGGGGAGCAAACAGGAGUAGAAACCCCAGUAGUCC
This 274-nucleotide ribosomal RNA is filed under the name uncultured bacterium. Its description in RNAcentral is "partial 16S ribosomal RNA". It matches the Rfam family "Bacterial small subunit ribosomal RNA", at positions 523 to 796 of the family's 1533-position model. The record is from RNAcentral.